GACGUGGGGCCUUCCCCUCACUCCAAGGCAGGGGGCAGAGGACCCACGGAAAGUGAGUUUCUGAUCGCUAUUGGGAUGUCAGACACCCCAGGAACGUGACUCCGCUGUUUUCAGCUGAAGACUUUUGAGGACAGAAGCAAUAACCCCUGUGCACCAGGGGGCUGCUUCUUCAGGUCAGGACGACGCCACAAGCAACCAGAGGACUGAAACCCCCGCGGCGGGAGAGCAGGGAACCAGGAGACCUGAGUGUAAAUCCCAUCUCUCAGGAGAUUUUCUACAGUAGACCCAGAACCAGUGGCACAAAGCAGGUAAGUUACAUGGCAAA
Long non-coding RNA from Parus major (Great Tit), 325 nucleotides. RefSeq lists it as uncharacterized. The record is from RefSeq and is a predicted model, not a curated record. Lineage: Eukaryota; Metazoa; Chordata; Aves; Passeriformes; Paridae. The transcript has 3 exons.